Molecule: long non-coding RNA, 289 nt
Filed under: Ananas comosus (pineapple)
Lineage: Eukaryota; Viridiplantae; Streptophyta; Magnoliopsida; Poales; Bromeliaceae
Description: long non-coding RNA (ACOM_LNC007285)
Source: RNAcentral
UAGCAACAAAACAAUAAAGAGAAUAUGCCAAAAAUUAGAUAAAGCUGAUUCAAAAUCUGAUCUGGAUCUACAUUGGGAAACGGGGGAGAAAGUAUUAGAAAAAGUUGAUUAAAAAUACGAUCUGGAUCGACAUCUGAAAACGGGACAGGAAGUUUUUUGUGAUCUAGCUACACAGUCUGAUGUUCAUCAUUUGAUUCAAAAUACCACAUGUUAUGUAAUACUUAAUAAUUAGUAUUACAGAAUGAAACUGAAGCUUCCCAAAGACAAUAAUGUAAGCUUGUUUUUAAAU